Molecule: long non-coding RNA, 4371 nt
Organism: Polyodon spathula (Mississippi paddlefish)
Lineage: Eukaryota; Metazoa; Chordata; Actinopteri; Acipenseriformes; Polyodontidae
Exons: 6
Source: RefSeq, a predicted model, not a curated record
UGUUGAGUUUUGUAUGAACUAAUCUUGCUUCACUAAAAAAAGACCUACAGCUUGGACAAAAGUCUGUAGCCAGUGCAUUCCUAACUCCCCUUGCACUAAGGCUGACUGAGGCUGUGGGAAGACAUAUAACUCUUGUGCUCUGUUUCUUUCUUAAAAGUCCUGUGGUGUUGCAUUCAGGUACUUUGUCCUGGUUCCACCUGUAUGGACUCUGGGUCUGGGAAAAUCCCUGGAUAUAUCUGCUGGUCUAGGCCUUAUAAAGGCAGCUGUGUCCUGAGUGUGAAAGCCAUAAACGGCUUUUCUUGUUCCAGGCCAGCAUGCGGAGGAUAACGUUUAACGUGGGGUGUAGGUGCUGGAAAGGCUGCAGUGAGAAUGCCGCAUCUGGGAAAAGUCGGCGGUGGAUCCCAGCCCUGGGACUAUUGCUGCAAAGGAAGGAUGUGAAUCUCAGCCCCGAUCAAACGGGAUCAGAGACCGCUGAAGUGCGGCUCUUAAGUCGUUGGAUGUAGUAACCUUUCCUGCCAAUCAAAAUGUGAUGAGGACAACACCCUAACUGGCAAUGCUAACAAGCCUCAAGUCUGUCUGAGAAGACCCGUACACCAAGUUUGUUUCUUCUGGUAAGAGCUGUCAGAGACAAGAUUUGACACCGACCAAACACAAGAAGAUACACAGACAAAGGCACCUGUUGCACCGAAGAGCAACUUCAAGGAGACAGACACUCUGCAUCACAUUUUAGGGCUGCCAAUCCCUGCAAUGCGAUCUGGAUUUCUUUAGAAGAAAGCCUAAUCAGUUUCUAUGACGGAAUCCCAAAGAUACUGCACUGUUACACAGAAUGAGGAUGCCCAGCCUCCAGUAAGUUGGAUAAGCUUGGGGUGCCUCGUCACCGUGGAGACUGCCAGAACAAUUCAGCUGAAGUUUGAAGGGGUCAGCUUUCAGGGUCAACAACUCCGGCCUCUCCCUGCGCCAGCUUCUGUUGGGCCUGGGACUGCAGUUGGAGUGUUAGCCCAGGCCUAGCUUUGAGUGGGAUAAAAUACUGUAAAUUCCAGAGUUCCUUUCACUGCGAACGAAAGUGUCACAAGGUUCUGAUGCAGCCAAGUGAAAGAAAAUCAGACAUCCUGGAGUUCUUGCAGGUGGUGGGCAUUUCAGAGAGACCCACAGGGAGAGGCACAUCUGCAACUGUCACGGGCCAUUGUUCUGGUUACCACAGUUUUGUUUACUUGUUUGUUUGAUUGACUAACCUUCUUUAAGCAGAGCUGCUAGAGUCUUUGAGAUUGUAAUUGUUAUUUCACAGGAAUUCAGUAAAUGCCUGUAAGUUGUUUUCUUAUAUAUACAUGUAAAGGUUUCCCUUUCAUUUUUUUUUCUCUUUGCUGCAGGUCAAGGAUUCCAUAGGAAAAAGUCUGCUAAAGUUAUUAAGUUUAAGUACAUAAUUAUUCUGUGUAAUUGUUUACUGUAAUUAUAUUAUUAAGGUCUUGUUUUACAAAUUUGCACAAGCCAACACCUGUACUGCAAGGCAACAGCAUUUGAUGUACUAUAGUAGAUUUUUCAAGGUGCACAUUACAAGAAAUCCAAGGCUGCUAUGUGAGUGUGUUUCAUAUUCUUUCAAUUUUUUAUAGCUAUGAACAAGGAGAUAGAAUCAAACAACCAAUAAAUCUCAUCAUGAUACGUGAACAACAUCACAAAUUGGAAAACAAACUUCUAAACAAAUACACAGAAAGUAAAGCUCAAUAAAAUAUAUAAUAUCAACUCGCCCACUCAACCACAGCAGACACCCAGGCUGUUAUAGAGGAUGAGAUCAUUUGGCACGGUUCAUGCCAGAAAAUGAUACCUCUGCAAACCAGAAUCCGUUUCAUGACAAUAUAAUUUUUUUUGGUUGCAGUUCUGCUUGCAAGUGUAUAGUACCUCUCAAUCAGCACACAACAGAGAAUGAAAGACAGCGACCUCAGAGCACCGGGGUAUUCGGACAAUAUAUGGAAAUUUGUACCUGGUGGCUCAAGAUAGCAACUGGGGCAGUUUGUGUCUGAAAUUACCAUUGAAAUGUUUAUGUGAAGUAGCACUGGCACUAUGGUUUAGACUGCAUGUUAUAUAUUACACGAAUGUCGUUUGGUCCUAUGGUGAACCCUAUAUUUCUCUUUGGUUCUGUGGUGGGCCCUAUAUUUCUCUUUGGUUCUCUGGUGGACCCUAAAUUUCUCUUUGUUGCUGUGGUGAACCCUAUGUUGUGUUGAAUUGUGUUGAAACCCAGGCUUUCAGAGGUGUGAAAAGCACAAGAAGCAAGUGAAUUAGCUAUAAUAUUACUUCUUUAGCAAACUAUGAAAUUGUUUUAAUUCAUGACUAUUCUUCACUAAAAUCAAUUCUUCCCUAUUUGAAGAGGUAUGGUCCAAAUUCAUUCAGUUACCUUCACCAAAAAAGCUGAUGAAAAUAUUAUUCUUGAGGAUAAAGUAAAUCAGAUUUAUUUGCAUUGUAUUGUUCUCAAUAAAGUUAGCUUUUAAGGAAUAUCAAUUACAUUUCAAUGGUACAUUGGGACUGGUGUGCUUGUAUUUGCAAGUGCAACACCCUUUCACCGGGCUGUUUCUAAGAUUUCUUUUGAAUCCAUCCAUGGUUUUCAUAGGCUCCAUGUAGUGACAUCUGAAAACAAACAACUUCCAUUAACCCAUAUAUUAUAAACUUCUUCCUUCAUCUAGGAAAAUAGUUCAUUACAGUCAGCAAGGGACCUUUAUUGUAAGUAGUUUCAAGGGGAGUUGGGGGAUACAUAAAAACAAAAGAAAUAAAUUUGAUUUAAAUUCUGUCCUUAAAAAAGGAAAUCUGGCACAAAUCCACUUGGUGAAAGUUUCUUCCAGCUGUGCUCACUCAGGAGUUUUGCAUUUUAACCUGCAUUGCAAAAGGAAACUGAUGUGGACAGUUCUGUCUCUUCCCUUGAACCUGGUUGGAUUUGAGCAUGGGCUGCACAGGGGCUGAGUGGCUGGAGGAGUGGUCUGGGCUCUUGGUCUUUGUAUCCAGCAGGAGAAACACUGGGACCCUGCUGGGAAGGACAUGCAAAGACUUCCCCCCUCCAAGAGAACUAGACAAAAGCACAUUACAUGCUUGCAAAUCACCUCUCUGAUGUUAUUUCAUUUACCACAGCCUGGUGGAUGGUUGCUUCAUCCUUGCAAACAGUUUUAAGCUUCAUAAGGUCUUUCUGUUCCACUGCAGUGGUCACUUAUCCCACUAUGCCUCAUAUUGGAAUGUUCCUUCUUCUUCUUCUUCUUCUUCUUCUUCUUCUUCUUCUUCUUCUUCUUCUUCUUCUUCUUCUUCAACCUUCCAACCUUCUCUCCAUUCUUAAGCACUUUUUUUCUCACACUGAAAAGCAUGAAUCUGCUUUCUAUGCCAUGAAUUUUCUAGGAGAAUAAACAGUGGGAUGAGUUCGCUGUUGAUAAAGUCUAUUGACCCUUCAAGGAUCAACAAUUUUGAAAUGGAUCAUUUCAACACAAUAUAGGUCUUUCUUCAGCACUUUUGAGGAUGUGUCUCACAACAUUAAAGCAAGAGAAAAAUCAUUAAUUAUAAGAAGCAAGACUGGUGCAAUCAUGAGUGGAAUUUUGUCCACAGAUACAGUUUAUAAAUAACUAGAAAGAUAUAUGGAAGUUAAUUUUGAUAGACAAGGAAAAUAUAUCCUCCAUAGAGAGGGACUAAUAAGCAAGAUAGCUGGAGUAUGGUAUAAUGACAUUUUUGUUCACCCUUUUUUUAAAUAUUAUUUAUUGCUGACCAUGGUUCUGUUAAUUGGAUUUUCAGGACACCUGUACUUGCAUAGAGUAUCCAGGGGAUUAUUCUAGGGAUGGGCAAAUCAGCUCUAAUUUGUGUCAUACACACACACACACACACACCUCAAACCUUAUCCAGUUUGGGUUUAUUUGAUCAGCUUCAAACUGUCAAAGAUUUUCUGUGCCUUAAACUGGCAAUGAGGUUAUAAAAAGAUACUACUAGCGGCUACAAUCUCCCUAAUGCAUUUCAAAUUAUAUUGCAUCCUGUGUUAUCAGUUUCCUUAAAAGGGUUUCCUUUCCUGAAAAAUAUUCUCUUUUAUUAAUAACUUAAAAUUGCCUAAAUAAAAUAAAGCAUUCAUUGAAUAACGGUUAUAUUCUCCUUAAUUGUAAAUACUAUUAUAUUAUUAUACUUUGCUCAUAAUGCAGUUAUACAACAUUCUUUCUAUGCUAACAUCGACUGCACUAGUUGCGUUGCACAUACUUGAAAAUGGUGCCAUAGGUAAUGAGUUUCAGUAUGCUAAGAGGGUCAAACAGAGGAGUGCGAUUAGCGCUCAUUAAUUGGCAGCCCUAAUAUAUAUUAAAGAUGGGCAGAAUACAGUGGUUCCAAAUAAUUUUCCUUUAAGGUCUCACUGAACCAACACAUUUC